This 507-nucleotide ribosomal RNA is filed under the name uncultured bacterium. RNAcentral describes it as "bacterial LSU rRNA". It matches the Rfam family "Bacterial large subunit ribosomal RNA", at positions 2181 to 2689 of the family's 2925-position model. The record is from RNAcentral.
CAGAGCCAACCUUGAAAUACCACCUAGGCUAACCUAAAAAUCUAACUCGCUUCCGUAAUCCGGAAGGAGGACAAUGCCUGGUGGGCAGUUUGACUGGGGCGGUCGCCUACCCAAAAAGUAACGGAGGCGCGAAGGUUCCCUCAGCCUGAUUGGAAACCAGGCGCAGAGUGUAAUGGCAUAAGGGAGCUUGACUGCGAGACAAACAAGUCGAGCAGGUGCGAAAGCAGGUCAUAGUGAUCCGGUGGUCCUGUAUGGAAAGGCCAUCGCUCAACGGAUAAAAGGUACUCCGGAUAACAGGCUUAUCACGCCCAAGAGUUCACAUCGACGGCGUGGUUUGGCACCUCGAUGUCGGCUCAUCGCAUCCUGGGGCUGAAGUAGGUCCCAAGGGUUCGGCUGUUCGCCGAUUAAAGCGGUACGCGAGCUGGGUUCAAAACGUCGUGAGACAGUUUUGGUCCCUAUCCGCCGUGGGCGCAGGAGACUUGAGAGGAGCUAACCUUAGUACGAGAG